UUCGUUUCCACCAUUCUUUGGUUUCUUAUUCUUGUUUGGGUUAUUGACUAUGCAUUCGACAUUUAACUCUUCUCCUUCAAGUUUGAAACCAUCUCUUCUCAUUCUCCUUCAAAAUGCAUUGAGUUCUUGUGUGUUCUUAUCUUAGAUUUAAAAUCUCUUAUUCCAUUUGGGAUUUUUAAAUCUUAUUAUUCUGUUUAGGUAAAUUUACAGAAGUUUCAGUUGGUAUUUGGCUAUUUAUAGUUAGUGGUUUCCAGCUCUUGGGUGGUUCGAUCAAUUUCAGUUCUGCAUUUCAGGGUCAGAUUUGGACGACACCUGCUUAGGUGUUUAGUUCAUAUUUUUGUGGAUUGCAAGGAGUUAGCUUCAGCUGAUCCGGUUUGGGGUUGUGAAGCUUUGACCUUUCCCUAAUAAAUAAGUUUACUUGCAUAUAGUAAUUUGAGGUUUAAGAUUUGGUUGAAUAUCAAAUGAAAUAUACUUUCUCCUUAGCAAUGAUAAUAUCGGCUAUUAAAUUUCAUAUUUUACGACAUUAAUUCUACUACAGAAAAAAUUAGAAGAACUAGAUAACUUGUUUAAUAUUUCUAGUUUUUAUAUUUGUCAUUAUGUGUUUUACUACAAUCAGUUGUAAUAUUUGUAAAUAUUUUAUAAUUUACAGUACUAUGAAGAAGAUUCUUCAAGUUGACGCUACGAUUACGACGAGAUUCAGAUUGCAAAUAGUGCGAAAUGUUUAUGAGAAGCUCAAUACAAAUUAGAAAAACAAGCUUAACGAGAGUUGCUUCGGAUCUCUCCUUAGGUUGAAGGAUAUAAGUUUGGCUUCGCAAGUUGUACAUCAAUUAUUAUUGCGAAAGAUAAAGACCAACAAAAAAAAGUUUGGUUUAAGAUAGGAGAGAAACGAGCAAGAUUUGGGUUGGAAUAUUUUGUUUUAGUUAUGGCUUAAAUGCAGGUGAUAACGUAGAUAAGACCUUAGGGGCGAAGUGUCAAAUCGUGAAAGAGUAUUUUAAGAAAAGUGGGAGAAGAUUAUGAAGGGAGAUGCUCACAAUGCAUUUGUAAGUUGCAAGAAAAGAAAGAGCGACAAGUAUAAGUUUGGAUUGAUCGUAAUCUUGGUGUAUGUACUGUGGACCAUGUAGGAAAAUACCUACAUCGAUUUAUGGUGGAUGGACCUAGUGGAUGAUCUCGACAAGUUCGAGAUGUAUCCAUGGGGAAAGCUUUCUUUUGAAUGCACGAUCAGUGUAUUCAAACAUGAAAUAGGAAAUAAAUUGAAAAUUUUGGAUGUCGAAGGUGAGUCAAAUUGUUGGUAUUUCAUUGCACGACUUUCUCCUCGCUAUAAUGGUAUGAACAAACAAUACACUUGACUUGUAUUGUUUUUUUUAUAUACCAAUUUGUGUCUUGAGAUAAUAAUGUUUGUUUUGUAAUAGAUUUGGGCAUUCGAAGCAAUUCCAACUUUGGGAAUGAAGUUCACUAUGAAAUAUCUAGAUGCAAUUCCAAGAAUGGCUAGUUGGGAAAUGCCGAAGAGGUUAGCGUCUGUUGCCAUUGAUAACGUGUUGAAUUCGAAGGAGGUAAAAUUGCCCUUUUUAAGUUGAAUGUGAACAAAUUGUGGAAUUAGCUUAGUGAAUGACUAAUGAUUUACACGAUUUAAUAUUUUCUUUCCCACCAAAUCCGAACUUAAGGAGGCCUAUUGGAAAGAGUUGAAACCGAUCGUGGAUGAAGAUGAGAGUGCUUUAUACCAUUCUGAAGGAGACGAGGUUGAGCAUGAUGUCGAGCCACAUCAUGCAUUCCACCAACACUCUUCCAGAGCAUCUUAACCACCAUCGUUUUCUACACGGUCAGAUAUAAUCACAAGCUCAUCUGUAUCACAUGCUAUUAAGCGCAACUCCUUAAAGAACCAAGUCCAGAUUCUCGUCAUUCUCCGAAUCAACUACUCCACAUGCGAGUAUAAAUAUUUGAAAAUUUGCACCCUGACAAGUUGCUAAGAGCAGAGUACAUUUCAUUCUCGAUUUCAGGAAUGUAUCAUCUACAGAUAUUACCCUCCGCAUUAAGUUGAGGAAUCUACAUAUACUUGGUCCCAAUAUCAUAAAAAAGUACUUGAAGCGUUGAUCAUCAGUAGUAUGAAUGACGUCAGCGUACCAUGAUUUUGCAUCUUCAAAACAUGAUAAUAUACUGGUAACUUUGUAUAACUCUUAUGGACUUUUUCACGGAUCAGUCCACAAGCAAAAUGUUUAGCCAUAUACGCUUUAGUAUAGCUUAUGGUUAUGCCAAACUCUCAACGAAUGUCAUUAAUGAUGUCCCUUGGUCUGUAAACUCGAUUGGCAUCUUGCUACUUAGGGGUGAUGUGUUUCCAAAUAUCAUAUAUGAAGUAUGUCUAUGGUCUCUACGACGAACGCUCAUGGAGCAAAAGUGAUGACCAUUACACUUUCGAACUUCGAAAAUAGGACUUUCUGUGAUUUUGGUUGCUCGCAAGCACUACUUACAAUUUUCAUCAAUACAAACAAUUGUAUACGUGCUCUUAUCCGACUUCUUCACUUUGUAUUCGAAGUGAAAUUUCACAACCAGCAAUUGCAUUUUUUAUAUUAAGUCAUAUUUUGAUGCAAAAAACUAGUUCACUUGCACAUCUUUAUUUUUUGGAAUUCAUACUGAUUGCCCACAAUGGAAGAACUUGUAUUUGCAGAUACAAUCCGACUACAUUCAACAUCAUUAUCAUUCGCUACAUUCCGACUAUAAGGUUCAUCCAUGGGUAACUUCACAUCAUUAUCAUCUGCAAUAGGAAAAUUAUCGUCGUUAUCAACUUUUCCAAGACUAUCUUCACUUACAUCAAAAUCAUUACAAUCGACAAAUAUUCAAUCACCAUUGUCAUGGUUAUCUUCGUCAUCAGUUUGAAC
This 2870-nucleotide long non-coding RNA is filed under the name Olea europaea subsp. europaea. Lineage: Eukaryota; Viridiplantae; Streptophyta; Magnoliopsida; Lamiales; Oleaceae. The record is from RNAcentral.